UACGGAGGGUGCAAGCGUUGUUCGGAAUUACUGGGCGUAAAGGGCGCGUAGGCGGUCUGCUAAGUUGGAUGUGAAAACUCUGGGCUUAACCCAGAGCCUGCAUUCAAUACUGACAGGCUAGAGUUCUGGAGGGGAUAGCGGAAUUCCUGGUGUAGCGGUGAAAUGCGUAGAUAUCAGGAGGAACACCGGUGGCGAAGGCGGCUAUCUGGACAGAAACUGACGCUGAGGCGCGAAAGCUAGGGGAGCAAACAGG
RNAcentral lists this ribosomal RNA (253 nucleotides) under uncultured bacterium. Its description in RNAcentral is "partial 16S ribosomal RNA". It matches the Rfam family "Bacterial small subunit ribosomal RNA", at positions 524 to 776 of the family's 1533-position model. The record is from RNAcentral.